UACGGAGGGUGCAAGCGUUAUCCGGAUUCACUGGGUUUAAAGGGUGCGUAGGUGGGCAGGUAAGUCAGUGGUGAAAUCUCCGGGCUUAACUCGGAAACUGCCAUUGAUACUGCUUGGCUUGAGUACAGAUGCUGUGGGCGGAAUAUGACAUGUAGUGGUGAAAUACAUAGAGAUGUCAUAGAACACCGAUUGCGAAGGCAGCUCACAAAACUGUAACUGACGCUGAGGCUCGAAAGUGUGGGGAUCAAACAGG
RNAcentral lists this ribosomal RNA (253 nucleotides) under uncultured bacterium. RNAcentral's name for it is "partial 16S ribosomal RNA". It matches the Rfam family "Bacterial small subunit ribosomal RNA", at positions 524 to 776 of the family's 1533-position model. The record is from RNAcentral.